Molecule: long non-coding RNA, 1866 nt
Organism: Acyrthosiphon pisum (pea aphid)
Lineage: Eukaryota; Metazoa; Arthropoda; Insecta; Hemiptera; Aphididae
Exons: 3
Source: RefSeq, a predicted model, not a curated record
AAUAAUAGAUGCGCGCGUUAUCAACCGUCAUUGCGGAAAUAUAUUUUGUUACGGUUGUUGGUUGUUGGUUGUUACCACAUUGAUGGUUUUAUAAUAUGCUCUUUGAUAAUAUUCUUAUCUAUGGUCGCAUCCACGAAUUAAGAUAUUAUCUUAAUUCGUGGUCGCAACACGGCGCACAAAAUGGUGGUGGUCGGUAAAUGGUAAUCGGCUAUCGGCGGCGGCGUCGGUUUCAAAUUUUCAAUGUUUGCAAGGGAAUACAGUACGGGGUAACUUUAUGGACUAUCAAUUCGCAUGAUUUUAUGACAUCAAUCGACAUGCUCAUCAAUCACAGAUUAUAUAAAAGUCUAAACAAUGUGAUAUUAGAUAAUUUUAUAUUGUAAUAACACAUUUUGGCCGAAAAAUGAUCAGUGAGUGAGUGCCGAAGACUGUCUAUUACCAUAGAAUUGAUACUUAAUUCAAAAGCAAUGUUAUUCCAUGGACCAUCAACAGGAUUAGAUGUGGUAUCCAUAAACUGUGUGGAUUUCAAAUACAGCGUGAUAAACAAAGCAAACAUACCUUUAAUGUCCAAUGCCAUAUUAUCUACCAGUUUGGAAAAAUACAAACCAAAAACUGUCUACAACUUAUCUUCAACAAUAUUUACAAAUCAGCAAUAUGGAACCCAUUCUGGAACGAGACAACCAAUAUUAGGAACAAUGAAUAUAAACUACUGGAUGUUUAAUUUAUUAGAGAUGCAUGGAUUAGUCUAUGUAAAAUAUAUUUCAAUUAUUUAUAUUAUAUACUUACUCAAAUAUUACCAACACUAUUUAAUAAAUUUCUUUAAAGAAAAUCAAAAAAAAUAGGUGUAUUAUAUAAAUUGUAAAUGACAUGAUAUGUAAGAUAAAAAAAAAAAAAACAAUUAUUCUUGUCAUAAAUGCAUCUCAACGUUUUUUAAUCAACUAUACAAACAUUUAUGAUUAAUUAUUUUUAAAAUAAUAUUUAAUUAUAUUAAUUGAGUAAUAUAUUUCGAUUUAAGCCCAUAUAAUAUGCAUAUUAUAUAUUGUAUUUGUCUAUCAUAGAAUUUUACUAUAUCAUAAAUAUUAUUUUUUGUAUUUCUAUAAGUCUUUAUUAAGGUAAAAAUAUUUGUUAUUUGUAUAUACAGUAGAUUGCUUAUCACCCUGGUUAAUUAAUGCCAAGGAUAGUAAGCAUAAAUGUACGGAUAAUUGACCAUACAUAUUUAUUAUUUUUAUACCCACAAUACAUACCGAAAUACCUCGCUAAUAAUCAGCAUUCCAUAAUAAUUUUUUUAUUUUAUAAACAUAAUGCAUAUAUCUUAAAAUGGCAGAUAUUUAAUAUAUGAUUACAUGGAAUAGCAUAAUAUGAAUAGGUAGAUAUGUAAGAGUAUUUAAAAGAUCUUAUUAUUAAUUUUGCUUGUACGUUCAAUUAACAUUCGAUAAUCAGCAAUCUAUUGUAUUUCAAUAUUGGUAAUACUUUACACAGGAUAAUAUAAUAAUGUAAUACUUCAGUGUUCAGUAUAAUGGCCAUUGUUUUACUCAUUUGCAUUGGUAUUUAUAUAUCAUAAAUAAAUUAUUCAUUUUUCUAUGUAUAAUAUAUUAUAAUAUAUUUUAGUUCCAAUGGAGUUGUUACAUACCUACGGGUUAUAAUAGUUCAACCUCUGGUAUCCACUUGGUUCAUAUAAGCAUGUGGUGACAUUAAUGGAUCUACCUUAAUAUAUUUUUAACUUAUUAAUAUUCAUCUAUGUUAAUUAUUCAACUAAUACUUUGUAUUAUUACAGUAGUAACAACAGUUUUAAUUUGGAAAGGCAGUGAACUGAGUUUUUGUUUAUUUUAACUAUGUCAAAGUUUACAUACAAUAUGCUUAUAUUGAGUA